UGGCAGUGAAAUAUUUGUGAAGGAGGGCCAAGUGUGCCUUAUUCGAGAAGAAUUUUGGAGUCUUGGAUUGCUAAGGGACAUGGACUCCCAUGGCAAGGACAUAUACAUUAAGGACUUUUUUGUUCUCCCUGUGUGGAAAACAACUCCUAACAACAUUGUUACUGGAUUACCGGAAAAUUGCUUACCAAGUUGAUCAUGGGACAUGGACUGAAAAGACUGGAUAUGAUUUUCCACCUUUGCCACGUCAGACAAGAGGGAAUGAUUGUGGUGUUUUUGUACUCAUGUACACCCUCUCAAUGGUGUGUGGCAUUGGGUUUCAAUUCGAGGAGAUGGAUAUGCCUGUCAUUCGUCAGUGGUGGUGUCUUCUCAUGGAACGAUUUCAGAUUGAUGGGUAUGUCA
This 399-nucleotide long non-coding RNA is filed under the name Danio rerio (zebrafish). RNAcentral describes it as "lncRNA si:ch211-10j20.3 (ENSDARG00000095211.4)". The record is from RNAcentral. Lineage: Eukaryota; Metazoa; Chordata; Actinopteri; Cypriniformes; Danionidae.